This 1001-nucleotide long non-coding RNA is filed under the name Coturnix japonica (Japanese quail). Its description in RNAcentral is "lncRNA (ENSCJPG00005001840.1)". The record is from RNAcentral. Lineage: Eukaryota; Metazoa; Chordata; Aves; Galliformes; Phasianidae.
AUGGGGGGAUAUGGGGUUAUAUGGGGUUAUAUGGGGUGAUAUGGGGUUAUAUGGGAUAUAUGGGGGGAUAUGGGGUUAUAUGGGGUUAUAUGGGGGGAUAUAUAGGGUUCUAUGGGGUUCUAUGGGGUUCUAUGGGGUUAUAUGGGGUUACAUGUGGAGAUAUGGGAUUAUAUGGGGAGAUAUGGGGGAAUAGGGGGAUAUAUGGGGUUAUAUGGGGGGUAUAUGUGGGUCUCUAUGGGUCCCUAUGGGUCUCUAUGGGUCCCUAUGGGUCUCUAUGGGGUCCCUAUGUGUCCCUAUGGGUCUCUAUGGGGUCUAUAAGGUUGCUAUGGGGUUUCUAUAGGUCCCUAUGUGUCUCUAUGGGUCCCUAUGGGCCUCUAUGGGGUCCCUAUGGGGUUUCUAUAGGGUUUCUAUGGGUCCUUAUGGGGUCUCUAUGGGAUCUAUAGGUCUCUAUGGGGUCUCUAUGGGGUCUAUAGGGUCUCUAUGGGGUUUCUAUGGGUCGCUAUGGGGUGUCUAUGGGUCUCUAUGGGAUCUAUGGGUCGCUAUGGGGUUUCUAUGGGUCGCUAUGGGUCUCUAUGGGGUGUCUAUGGGUCUCUAUGGGGUCUCUAUGGGGUGUCUAUGGGUCGCUAUGGGGUGUCUAUGGGAUCUAUGGGUCGCUAUGGGGUGUCUAUGGGUCUCUAUGGGUCUCUAUGGGUCGCUAUGGGUCGCUAUGGGUCGCUAUGGGUCUCUAUGGGUCGCUAUGGGGUCUCUAUGGGUCGCUAUGGGUCUCUAUGGGUCGCUAUGGGUCUCUAUGGGUCGCUAUGGGUCCCUAUGGGUCCCUAUGGGUCUCUAUGGGUCUCUAUGGGUCUCUAUGGGUCGCUAUGGGUCUCUAUGGGUCUCUAUGGGUCCCUAUGGGUCCCUAUGGGUCUCUAUGGGUCGCUAUGGGUCCCUAUGGGUCUCUAUGGGUCUCUAUGGGUCUCUAUGGGUCUCUAUGGGUCCCUAUGGGUCUCUAUGGGUCUCUAUGG